Molecule: long non-coding RNA, 1419 nt
Filed under: Homo sapiens (human)
Lineage: Eukaryota; Metazoa; Chordata; Mammalia; Primates; Hominidae
Description: HSALNT0149626
Source: RNAcentral
CUCCCCUGUUAGGGUUCCCAGGCUUGAUGAUGAGAUAGAAAAGGAAAACCCAUUUUCUGGAGAGAAAUUCAAGUCAGCUGCAGAAAUUUGCAUAAGUAAAGAGGAGCUGAAUGUUAAUCACCAAGACAAUGGGAAAAUGUCUUCAGGGCAUGUCAGAGACCUUCAAGGCAACUCAAACCAUCACAGGCCAGGAGGCCUAGGAGGAAAAAAAUGGUUUCAUGGGCCCAGUGCAGGGACUUGCUGCUCUGUGCAGUCUCAGGACUUGGUGCCCUGUGUCCCAAUCAUGGCUAAAGGGCCAAUGUACAGCUCAGGCCAUGGCUUCAAAGGGUAAAGGCCCCAAGCCUUGGCAGCUUACAUGAGGCGUCGGGCCUGUGGGUGCACAGAAGUCAAGAAUUGAGGUUUGGGAACCUACACCUAAAUUUCAGAGGAUGCAUGGAAACGCCUGGGUGUUCAGGCACAAAUUUGUGAUGGGGACGGAGCCCUCAUAGGGAACCUCUGCUAGGGCAGUGACUGCAGAAGGGAAAUGUGGGGUCAGAGCCCCCACACAGUCCCCACUGGGGCACUGCCUAGUGGAGCUGAGAGAAGAGGGCCACCAUCCUCCAGACUCCAGAAUGGUGGACACACUGACAGCUUGCACCGUAUUGCCUGGAAAAGCCACAGACACUCAGCACCAGCCUGUGAAAGCAGCCAGGAGGAGGGCUGUACCCUGCAAAUCAACAGGGGUGGAGCUGCCCAAGGCCAUGAGAGCCCACCUCUUGCUUCAGUGUGACCUGGAUGUGAGACACGAAGUCAAAGGAAACCAUUACAGAGCUUCAAGAUUUGACUGACCCAUUGAAUUUUGGACUUGCAUGGGGCCUGCAGUCCCUUCAUUUUGGCCAAUUUCUCCCAUUUGGAACAGGUGUAUUUACCCAAUGCCUAUAUCCUCAUUGUAUCUAUGAAGUAACUAACUUGAUUUUGAUUUUACAGGCUCAUAGGAAGAAGGGCCUUGCCUUGUCUAAGAUAAGACUUUGGACUUGGACAUUUUGGUUAAUGCUGGAAUGAGCUAAGACUUUGGGGGACUGUUAGAAAGGCAUGAUCAUGUUUUAAAAUGUAAGGACAUGAGAUUUGGAAGGGGCUGGGAGCAGAAUGAUAUGGUUUGGCUGUGUUCCCACCCAAAUCUCACCUUGAAUUGUAGUUUCCAUAAUCCCUACAUGUUGUGGGAGUAACCCAGUUGGAGGUAAUUGAAUCAUGGGGGUGGUUACCCCAUGCUGGUCUCAUGACAGUGAGUGAUACCUGAAGGUUUUAUAAGGGGCUUUUCCCCUUUUGCUCAGCACCUCCUGCUGCCUUGUGAACAAGGUGACUUGAUUCUUGUUUGCAUUCACCAUGAUUCUAAGUUUUCUGAAGCCUUCCCAGCCAUGCUGAACUGUGAGUCAAUUAAAC